Molecule: long non-coding RNA, 591 nt
Organism: Ahaetulla prasina
Lineage: Eukaryota; Metazoa; Chordata; Lepidosauria; Squamata; Colubridae
Exons: 3
Source: RefSeq, a predicted model, not a curated record
GGGAAAGGCUGCUCCAACCGCCGCCGUCUCCUGCCCCCCCCUUCCUCCCCCUUUCCUCCUCAGGAGCGGGGAAUGAACGGCCGGGCGCUGGCAUCGCUCAGGGAGGGUCGUAGGAGAUCCUCGCCUCCGCCUGAGGUCACCUGAUGGCUGAAGAAUUAGCAAAAUGCUGAUUUAAAAUGAAUUGGAUAGAAGCUGAAGGGAACCUGCCAGAAGAUCCUCGUGAAUCAGCUUCCCAACUUGAGACCAGGAUCUCCUGAUGUUUCAGAGGAUAUUGUAUCACUCAAUUCACUUUGUACUGGAGGAGCUGGAGUGAUUUCCUGGUUCCCUUUAGCUCUCGCCUCCUUUAAUGAAAUGCAUCAAGUUAAGACGAAUUUUAAAUGAAACCAUUCUAGGCAGUAAUUUUAUUAAUUAUUGAAAUGUUUUGAGUUCUCCGGAAUGUUUAACUUUGGCUUAUCUGAUAGUGAAAGAGUGGACACUUUGAGCUUAAUACAAAAUUCUAUGCAGAAUCCUACUAAACAAUGGUUUACCAAAUACUAUUGGUUCAUGCUUAAGAAAAAAAAAUAAAAACUGCUAUACCUGUUUAGCCACCUU